Molecule: ribosomal RNA, 408 nt
Filed under: uncultured bacterium
Lineage: Bacteria
Description: partial 16S ribosomal RNA
Rfam family: Bacterial small subunit ribosomal RNA
Source: RNAcentral
AGUGAACGCUGGCGGCGUGCCUAAUACAUGCAAGUCGAACGAAGUGGCGCACGGGGGAGUAAUAUAUAGUUAAUCUGCCCUACACAGAGUAACAACAGUUGGAAACGACUGCUAAUACCUCAUAGUGUAGGAUGAGAAUAUAUCGUAUCAGCUAGUUUGUAAGGUAAUGGCUUACCAAGGCUAUGACGCGUAACUGUGCUGAGAGGAUGAUCUGUCACAUUGGAACUGAGGCACGGUGCGGACUCCUACGGGAGGGAGCAGUAAGGAAUAGUGCGCAAUGGGGGAAAGCCUGACGCAGCAACGGCGCGUGGAGGAUGACAAUUUUCGGAGCGUAAACUCCUUUUAUCAGGAAAGCGGUACCUGAUGAAUAAGCACCGGCUAACUACGUGCCAGCAGCCGCGGUAAUUC